Molecule: long non-coding RNA, 472 nt
Organism: Danaus plexippus (monarch butterfly)
Lineage: Eukaryota; Metazoa; Arthropoda; Insecta; Lepidoptera; Nymphalidae
Exons: 4
Source: RefSeq, a predicted model, not a curated record
CUAUAUGCUUGUCUAAAAAUAAGUAUUUUUAGUAUUACCAGAGAGAAGAAGUUCGGUUAGUGAUGUUGGCUAAAUAUUUUUCUCUUUGACAUCACCUCCCUCCAACGCCCUGAAUUAGACGCUUAUCAAGCACGUGGCGUAUUCGAGUUCUUAAUACUUGGCUCAGAGCCCAAAGCCAUUUGACAAUGGACUCGGCGAACACUCGACAGGCGCAGCGCGUGCAGCCAGUUAACGACUUCAAGUUUCUUUAGCUGAACUUCAGGUGUACACGCCGGUUGUUACAAAGGACCCAAGAAAUAAUAUGCUGGAAGGAUACUGUAAGUAAUUCUUGUUAAAACGUGUUAGGUUUUCAUAUUUUUACUUCAAAUGGAAUGCUUUAAUGGAACGGAAUAAACUUUAAUGGAAUAAGGAACAAUAGAUUUUAAUUAAUAAAUGUUUUUUCAUUUGUUAAAAUAAAGUGUCUGUAUUAUAA